This is a long non-coding RNA of Nyctereutes procyonoides (raccoon dog), 1669 nucleotides long. RefSeq lists it as uncharacterized. The transcript has 4 exons. The record is from RefSeq and is a predicted model, not a curated record. Lineage: Eukaryota; Metazoa; Chordata; Mammalia; Carnivora; Canidae.
UCGCUGAGCGGGAGGACUGGGUGCACCCAGAUAAACAAGUCAGACAUGCAGUCGGUAGUGAAGUGAUGAGGCCAAAAACGGCGGGGCCAGGGCGAGGGAGCAUUUUUGUUACGGAAAAGCCCCUGAAACAACAACAGUUGAAGAACAUUAGGUUAGCUGAAAAGCAUUUGGCUCGCCGAGCAGGUUGGCUGGGCUGUUUCGUGCUUGCAGGGCAGCACCUGUUGCAGUGUCCUUGCCCGUAGACGUUUUACCCCCCACACCUCCAUUUUUUUAGAACAGUUUUCUCGCAUGGAGCAUUGGUUGGUGAUUUGGCCUGGCUAGAGACGAAUGGAUAAAGAAGAUGUGGUAUACGUACACAAUGGACUAUUAUUCAACCAUUAAAAAGAAUGAAAUCCUGCCAUUUGCAACAACAUGGAUGGAGCUAGUAUCCAGUUGAUCUGUUGAUGAUCCUUCGUCGAGGACUCAGGAUCAGAUGGUAUCUCUGUGUGACUGAAAUGAACCACCUGUUGUCUUCAAACGAAAAUAAUGAAGCUGAAGCUUAAGGAGGUUUAAGACCUUGAGCAGCCAGCAAGACAAGAAUGCAAGAUCCAAACCCAGUUUAUUCCAAAGUCAAAGCUCAUUCUUUUUUUUAUAUAAAUAUUUUUCAUUUAUUUAUUAGAGAGAGAGAGCAUUGGGAGAAACAGAGGGAAAGGGACAAGCAGUCUCUGCACUGAGCAUGAAGCUCUAUGUAGGGCUUGAUUCCAGGAUCCUGAGAUCAUGACCUGAACCAAAACCAAGAAUCAGAUGUUUAACCGACUGAGCUACCCAGGCACCGUAAAGCUCAUUCUUUUUCUUUUUUUUUUUUUUUUCCAAAGCUCAUUCUUAACCACAAAGCACAUCUGCCUCUGUGCUACAUCAAUGGAUGAUUUCAUUUUAGGCAUUUGUGUCUGAAUUGAGGAUAAUCUUUUGCAUCCAAUUUAUACAGAUUUUGAUGGGAAUCUGUGUGUCAUGAAUCUUGGUUAGUCACAGAAAUUAUUUAAUUGUUACAGUGUAAACUCAUUGAGAUUAAUGAAAUAGCUGAUAAUAAUGUUUGAGCCUAAUUGUUAUCUUGGGCAGGUAUACUGCAUGCUUGGUAUCUAAUCACAUAAUGGGCCUUUGUGAAAACAGAACAGUUCUAAGACUAGUAUCAGCAAUUCAUGAAGGAAGAUUAAAGCAGCUGACAAGGUCUUGAAAAUUCCCCUGGGUAUUAUGGAUUUCAUUUUAAGUGAAAAAUGCAAAGCAAUUAAAUUUCUUGUAACAGAAUUCCUUAAUUACACACAAUUUAUACUGAUGAUUUAAUUUUAUUUAAAAGUUAACAACUUUGAUUUCUUACAAAUAUGUAAAACGCAUUGGUACAUAUGGAAAAGAUGAAGAGGAUAUGCAAAAAAAAAAAAAAUUUGGCCUAAGGGGUAGUAAGGUAACUGGAAGAUUUUUCUCCUUAAAAAUUUUUUCAGGGCAGCCCGGGUGGCUCAGCAGUUUAGCGUUGACUUCAGCCCAGGGCCUGAUCCUGGAGACUGGGGAUGGAGUCCCACAUCAGGCCCCCUGCAUGGAGCCUGCUUCUCCCUCUGCCUGUGUCUCUGCCUCUCUCUCUCUCUCUCUCUCUCUGCCUCCCCCUCCCCCCGCCAUGUCUUUCAUGAAUAAAUAAAUAAAA